AUCGGGCUUGGUUAGUACUUGGAUGGGUGACCGCUUGGGAAUACCAAGUGUGAUAAGCA
Non-coding RNA from Ciona savignyi (Pacific transparent sea squirt), 59 nucleotides. Lineage: Eukaryota; Metazoa; Chordata; Ascidiacea; Phlebobranchia; Cionidae. The record is from Rfam.